GUGACUGCGGAGGAUCAUUAAUGGAUUCACAGAGGGUUGAUGCUGGUAGUUUAUCUGCAUGUGCUCACUCUUCUGAUUUUAUUUACACCUGUGCAUUUAAUUUUUUUCAAGGGUUAGGGUAGAAACCUGCCUUUGGAACUUAUAAAAACCCCCUAUAUUGAAGUAAUGGAUGUUUUUAUCUGCCACAAGGCGAAAUUUUAAUACAACUUUUAACAACGGAUCUCUUGGCUCUCGCAUCGAUGAAGAACGCAGCGAAAUGCGAUAAGUAAUGUGAAUUGCAGAAUUCAGUGAAUCAUCGAAUCUUUGAACGCACCUUGCGCUCUCUGGUAUUCCGGGGAGCACACCUGUUCGAGUGUCAUUAAAACUCUCAAAUAAAGGUAGUUUUGCAGUCUAUCUCUGUUUGGAUUUGGGCUUUGCUGCAUUAAUGUGGCUAGUCUUAAAUGUAUUANCUGAUCCUCAUUGAGGGUUUUGGUUCUACUCAGCGUGAUAAAUAAUUUAACGUUGAGGACAGUGUUUAGAACUGGCCAUAGCCUCUGUCUGGAUUGCUUCUAAACUGUCUUGAGGACAAUUGCUUAAUUUCUGACCUCGAAUCAGGUGGGACUAC
Molecule: unclassified non-coding RNA, 604 nt
Filed under: uncultured fungus
Lineage: Eukaryota; Fungi
Description: sequence contains ITS1, 5.8S rRNA gene, ITS2
Rfam family: 5.8S ribosomal RNA (bases 205-358)
Source: RNAcentral